UUAAGCGACUAAGCGUACACGGUGGAUGCCCUGGCAGUCAGAGGCGAUGAAGGACGUGCUAAUCUGCGAUAAGCGUCGGUGAGGUGAUAUGAACCGUUAUAACCGGCGAUUUCCGAAUGGGGAAACCCAGUGUGUUUCGACACACUAUCAUUAACUGAAUCCAUAGGUUAAUGAGGCGAACCGGGGGAACUGAAACAUCUAAGUACCCCGAGGAAAAGAAAUCAACCGAGAUUCCCCCAGUAGCGGCGAGCGAACGGGGAGGAGCCCAGAGCCUGAAUCAGUGUGUGUGUUAGUGGAAGCGUCUGGAAAGGCGCGCGAUACAGGGUGACAGCCCCGUACACAAAAAUGCACAUACUGUGAGCUCGAUGAGUAGGGCGGGACACGUGGUAUCCUGUCUGAAUAUGGGGGGACCAUCCUCCAAGGCUAAAUACUCCUGACUGACCGAUAGUGAACCAGUACCGUGAGGGAAAGGCGAAAAGAACCCCGGCGAGGGGAGUGAAAAAGAACCUGAAACCGUGUACGUACAAGCAGUGGGAGCCUCUUAAUGGGGUGACUGCGUACCUUUUGUAUAAUGGGUCAGCGACUUAUAUUCUGUAGCAAGGUUAACCGAAUAGGGGAGCCGAAGGGAAACCGAGUCUUAACUGGGCGUUAAGUUGCAGGGUAUAGACCCGAAACCCGGUGAUCUAGCCAUGGGCAGGUUGAAGGUUGGGUAACACUAACUGGAGGACCGAACCGACUAAUGUUGAAAAAUUAGCGGAUGACUUGUGGCUGGGGGUGAAAGGCCAAUCAAACCGGGAGAUAGCUGGUUCUCCCCGAAAGCUAUUUAGGUAGCGCCUCGUGAAUUCAUCUCCGGGGGUAGAGCACUGUUUCGGCAAGGGGGUCAUCCCGACUUACCAACCCGAUGCAAACUGCGAAUACCGGAGAAUGUUAUCACGGGAGACACACGGCGGGUGCUAACGUCCGUCGUGAAGAGGGAAACAACCCAGACCGCCAGCUAAGGUCCCAAAGUCAUGGUUAAGUGGGAAACGAUGUGGGAAGGCCCAGACAGCCAGGAUGUUGGCUUAGAAGCAGCCAUCAUUUAAAGAAAGCGUAAUAGCUCACUGGUCGAGUCGGCCUGCGCGGAAGAUGUAACGGGGCUAAACCAUGCACCGAAGCUGCGGCAGCGACACUAUGUGUUGUUGGGUAGGGGAGCGUUCUGUAAGCCUGUGAAGGUGGCCUGUGAGGGUUGCUGGAGGUAUCAGAAGUGCGAAUGCUGACAUAAGUAACGAUAAAGCGGGUGAAAAGCCCGCUCGCCGGAAGACCAAGGGUUCCUGUCCAACGUUAAUCGGGGCAGGGUGAGUCGACCCCUAAGGCGAGGCCGAAAGGCGUAGUCGAUGGGAAACAGGUUAAUAUUCCUGUACUUGGUGUUACUGCGAAGGGGGGACGGAGAAGGCUAUGUUGGCCGGGCGACGGUUGUCCCGGUUUAAGCGUGUAGGCUGGUUUUCCAGGCAAAUCCGGAAAAUCAAGGCUGAGGCGUGAUGACGAGGCACUACGGUGCUGAAGCGACAAAUGCCCUGCUUCCAGGAAAAGCCUCUAAGCAUCAGGUAACAUUAAAUCGUACCCCAAACCGACACAGGUGGUCAGGUAGAGAAUACCAAGGCGCUUGAGAGAACUCGGGUGAAGGAACUAGGCAAAAUGGUGCCGUAACUUCGGGAGAAGGCACGCUGAUAUGUAGGUGAAGCGACUUGCUCGUGGAGCUGAAAUCAGUCGAAGAUACCAGCUGGCUGCAACUGUUUAUUAAAAACACAGCACUGUGCAAACACGAAAGUGGACGUAUACGGUGUGACGCCUGCCCGGUGCCGGAAGGUUAAUUGAUGGGGUUAGCGGCAACGCGAAGCUCUUGAUCGAAGCCCCGGUAAACGGCGGCCGUAACUAUAACGGUCCUAAGGUAGCGAAAUUCCUUGUCGGGUAAGUUCCGACCUGCACGAAUGGCGUAAUGAUGGCCAGGCUGUCUCCACCCGAGACUCAGUGAAAUUGAACUCGCUGUGAAGAUGCAGUGUACCCGCGGCAAGACGGAAAGACCCCGUGAACCUUUACUAUAGCUUGACACUGAACAUUGAGCCUUGAUGUGUAGGAUAGGUGGGAGGCUUUGAAGUGUGGACGCCAGUCUGCAUGGAGCCGACCUUGAAAUACCACCCUUUAAUGUUUGAUGUUCUAACGUGGGCCCGUAAUCCGGGUUGCGGACAGUGUCUGGUGGGUAGUUUGACUGGGGCGGUCUCCUCCUAAAGAGUAACGGAGGAGCACGAAGGUUGGCUAAUCCUGGUCGGACAUCAGGAGGUUAGUGCAAUGGCAUAAGCCAGCUUGACUGCGAGCGUGACGGCGCGAGCAGGUGCGAAAGCAGGUCAUAGUGAUCCGGUGGUUCUGAAUGGAAGGGCCAUCGCUCAACGGAUAAAAGGUACUCCGGGGAUAACAGGCUGAUACCGCCCAAGAGUUCAUAUCGACGGCGGUGUUUGGCACCUCGAUGUCGGCUCAUCACAUCCUGGGGCUGAAGUAGGUCCCAAGGGUAUGGCUGUUCGCCAUUUAAAGUGGUACGCGAGCUGGGUUUAGAACGUCGUGAGACAGUUCGGUCCCUAUCUGCCGUGGGCGCUGGAGAACUGAGGGGGGCUGCUCCUAGUACGAGAGGACCGGAGUGGACGCAUCACUGGUGUUCGGGUUGUCAUGCCAAUGGCACUGCCCGGUAGCUAAAUGCGGAAGAGAUAAGUGCUGAAAGCAUCUAAGCACGAAACUUGCCCCGAGAUGAGUUCUCCCUGA
RNAcentral lists this ribosomal RNA (2790 nucleotides) under Escherichia coli. RNAcentral describes it as "bacterial LSU rRNA". It matches the Rfam family "Bacterial large subunit ribosomal RNA". The record is from RNAcentral. Lineage: Bacteria; Pseudomonadati; Pseudomonadota; Gammaproteobacteria; Enterobacterales; Enterobacteriaceae.